Molecule: non-coding RNA, 46 nt
Organism: Trichobilharzia regenti
Lineage: Eukaryota; Metazoa; Platyhelminthes; Trematoda; Strigeidida; Schistosomatidae
Source: Rfam
GUACUGCUGAAGAGUCCCAAACUAGGAUGAAACCGCCGUCCAGUAC